RNAcentral lists this ribosomal RNA (502 nucleotides) under uncultured bacterium. Its description in RNAcentral is "partial 16S ribosomal RNA". It matches the Rfam family "Bacterial small subunit ribosomal RNA", at positions 28 to 523 of the family's 1533-position model. The record is from RNAcentral.
GAUGAACGCUAGCGGGAGGCUUAACACAUGCAAGUCGUGGGGCAGCAUUAGGUAGCAAUACUUAGAUGGCGACCGGCGCACGGGUGAGUGACGCGUAUGCAACCUACCCAGUACAGGGGGAUAGCCCGGAGAAAUUCGGAUUAAUACCCCAUAAUGAUAUAGAGAGGCAUCUUUUUAUAUUUAAAGCUUCGGCGGUACUGGAUGGGCAUGCGUAAGAUUAGCUAGUUGGUAGGGUAACGGCCUACCAAGGCUCCGAUCUUUAGGGGUCCUGGGAGGGUGAUCACCCACACUGGUACUGAGACACGGACCAGACUCCUACGGGAGGCAGCAGUGAGGAAUAUUGGUCAAUGGGCGCAAGCCUGAACCAGCCAUCCCGCGUGAAGGAAGAAGGCGCUAUGCGUUGUAAACUUCUUUUCCGGAGGAAUAAAAUCUUGUACGCGUACAGGACUGAAGGUACUCCGGGAAUAAGCAUCGGCUAACUCCGUGCCAGCCGCCGCCGUAA